GUUUAAAUGUUUAAACAGAGGAUACAUCUAAAACAGGAUAAAACAAGUGCAGUAUGUUCUGAGAAUGUUACUGUUUGUCCAGUGUGUGGGGGUGUUUGUCCAGUGUGUGUGUGUGUGUGUUUGUCCAGUGUGUGUGUGUGUGUGUGUGUUUGUCCAGUGUGUGUGUGUGUGUGUGUUUGUCCAGUGUGUGUGUGUGUGUGUGUGUGUGUGUGUGUUUGUCCAGUGUGUGUGUGUGUGUGUGUUUGUCCAGUGUGUGUGUGUGUUUGUCCAGUGUGUGUGUGUGUUUGUCCAGUGUGUGUGUGUGUGUGUUUGUCCAGUGUGUGUGUGUGUGUGUGUGUGUUUGUCCAGUGUUUGUGUGUGUGUGUCCAGUGUGUGUGUGUGUGUGUCCAGUGUGUGUGUGUGUGUGUCCAAUGUGUGUGUGUGUUUGUCCAGUGUGUGUGUGUGUGUGUGUGUGUGUGUGUGUGUUUGUCCAGUGUGUGUGUGUGUGUGUGUUUGUCCAGUGUGUGUGUGUGUGUGUGUGUGUCCAGUGUGUGUGUGUGUGUGUGUGUGUCCAGUGUGUGUGUGUGUGUGUGUCCAGUGUGUGUGUGUGUGUCCAGUGUGUGUGUGUGUGUCCAGUGUGUGUGUGUGUGUCCAGUAUGUGUGUGUGUGUGUCCAGUGUGUGUGUGUCCAGUGUGUGUGUGUGUCCAGUGUGUGUGUGUGAG
RNAcentral lists this long non-coding RNA (701 nucleotides) under Salmo salar (Atlantic salmon). RNAcentral's name for it is "lncRNA (ENSSSAG00000082493.1)". The record is from RNAcentral. Lineage: Eukaryota; Metazoa; Chordata; Actinopteri; Salmoniformes; Salmonidae.